RNAcentral lists this unclassified non-coding RNA (708 nucleotides) under Hevea brasiliensis (rubber tree). The record is from RNAcentral. Lineage: Eukaryota; Viridiplantae; Streptophyta; Magnoliopsida; Malpighiales; Euphorbiaceae.
UCAUAACUCUCUUCUGGGUUCACUUAUUUAUCCAAUCUUAAUUAGUAUUGAAUUAACUUCAAAAAAAAUACUGUAACACAAUGAUUUUUGAGAAUUAUUAAACUAAUAAUUCAGUGAUCAAGUGUCUAUCUUAUAAUCUAAGAGAAAUUUUCUUUUAAAAAAAUUGAAAUUUAGAUGCAAAUUUUCAAUUUACGCUCAAUAAUUUUCCGUAAUUCCAAUUCCUCCAAAAGAAAUUAUGAAGCAGUUUUAAUUUAAUUACUAUUCAGAAUUUGGAUUACAAUUAAGAUCAUUAUAUGUGUCUAACAACUUUGCAGAAGCUGUUCCACCUUAAACUUGCUAAAAGACAAUCACGCUCUAGGAAAAUCAUGCGGUCCAUACGAGCACCAUUAAAUAAGACAAACUCUACCAACCAACAUAGAAAUUAUAUAAACCAUUAUUGAGUUCAGGAAAUUAAUUAAUUUGUUUUUCCUAAUAGAGAAUUGAUUGGAUAAGAAUUAUAAUUAGAAAGAAUCACAAGAAAAGGUAUUCUUCACUAACCUUGGCCCCCCUCUCAACACCAUUGGACCCAUGUGAGUUUUGUGCAGUCCCAAUAGCUGGAGGUGGAGGAGGAGGCGGAGGAGCCAGAGGCUGUGGAGGUGGCUGUGGCAACACAUGGGAUGUCUCCAACAACAUCAAAGGAGGAGAAUGGUUGGAUGCUUGAAGAGUUGG